Long non-coding RNA from Dromaius novaehollandiae (emu), 989 nucleotides. RefSeq lists it as uncharacterized. The transcript has 2 exons. The record is from RefSeq and is a predicted model, not a curated record. NCBI's taxonomy places the organism in Eukaryota, Metazoa, Chordata, Aves, Casuariiformes, Dromaiidae.
UUUUCAUUUCACAAGCUACCAAACAGUGUUUAACGCAACAAGAACUGACCCAAAUUCCCCUGUUUCACUUUGGAAUGGAUCAGAAAUCGAACUACUCUACUGAACUAAAAGUGGAUCUCUGACCCCUGAAAGUUGCUAAAUCCUGAUGCACCCAUAUAACAAAUGAUGCAGUUGCAUGUUAUAUGCUGACUAUAUCUAUAUAUUCAUACUGGAGCACAGAAUUAACCCACUGAAGAUGCUAAUCAGCUGUACAAGUGAUUAGACCUGUCUGGAAUUUCAAGAAGACUGUAUUACGAAGAUAGGAGGACUACACUGUUGUGCAGUCAAAACUCAGGAAAUGUCUAAGAAAAGGCUACUGGUAUAACUGUAACUGAAUGAGAAAACAUGUGGAAAGUCUACUGUGCAUGCCAGCUCUGUUCUGUUCUGGACAUCUCCCUCCAACUGUUCAAAACACAGCCUGGGCAUGGUCUUCAGCUCUGCUGACUUCCAGAACUGCUCCUGGAAAUGAGUGUGGACAAGACUUUGUUUUAUACAUUCUUCCAGCACCGUCCUGUCAGGCUCUACAUCUUCUUAUGUACUCUCAUGCUUCCCGAAGGUGGAGCAGAUACUCUUGGUUUCAUGCUGUAAGAACACUGUUCCAGUGGUCUACAGCACAAUGCUCACACUAUUUUAGUUAGUUUGAAUAGAACCUCCUCCCCUUCAACAGCAAAAGAUAAUACUUUUCUCUCAGGACAAAGAUGCAACUAAUAGGCCAAGAGAAGGCCCAGGGAUAAGCCAUAUAUUGAAGAUGUGGCCAUUCUCCUCUGGAGUGGGUAGGCCUAAGCAGCGGGGAAGUGAGCCAGUCCAUUUGAGUUAGCCUUGGGUCUCUGGAUUAGAGCUCUUUAACUUAGUAGUAUGGACUGUUCCACCAGAAGAACAAACAUUCAUGGUACUAGCACUGAGACACCCAAAAUAUGGCACCUGACAGACUGAGAACAAGAGCAAUCAGG